RNAcentral lists this long non-coding RNA (218 nucleotides) under Apteryx rowi (Okarito brown kiwi). RNAcentral's name for it is "lncRNA (ENSARWG00000012590.1)". The record is from RNAcentral. Lineage: Eukaryota; Metazoa; Chordata; Aves; Apterygiformes; Apterygidae.
UGGAAGGCUUGACUUGGUGGAACUGCAUGCAGCUGUACAGGAGACAGGCAUCUCACUCAGCAAUGAAGUCUGUAACCUGAUGGCAAUCAGAUACAGCAACGCUGACUUGCAGAUCAGCUUUGAGAGCUUUGUCUGUUUCAUGCUUCGAGUGGAGAUCAUGGGAGAGGCCUUUCGCAACUUAACGCAAGAUGGCAAAGGCAUAUACCUCCAGGAAUCUG